RNAcentral lists this unclassified non-coding RNA (215 nucleotides) under rhizosphere metagenome. RNAcentral describes it as "partial ribosomal RNA internal transcribed spacer region". The record is from RNAcentral.
GUAGGUGAACCUGCGGAAGGAUCAUUAUCGUGCCAAAGGUCGCUGCCCCCCGGGGCGGUCGGCCUUUGUUACCCUCAUCCUGUGUUUUUGCGUACCGUGUUUGUUUCCUCGGCGGGCUUGCCCGCCAGUGGAACCCCCUUACAACCCUCUGUAUUUGCAAUCAACGUCUGAAAAAUCAAUAGUUACAACUUUUAACAAUGGAUCUCUUGGUUCUG